UUUUGAUCACCCCUCGGAUCUUAUCAUUUUCAAAGGUUCUACAAAAAAGAAUAGACGGCUCAACUGAUUUCUAUCGAACUUGGGAAGAAUAUAAAGUUGGAUUUGGAGAUCCUAGGAACAAUUACUGGAUUGGAAAUGAUGCAAUCCAUGCUUUAACCAGAUAUCAAGUUCAGAAACUGCGAGUGAAUCUCCAGAGAUUUAAUGGGGACACAGCGUAUGCUGAAUAUUCCACGUUUUAUAUCGGAAACGAGGCUUAUAAAUACCGAUUGACACUCUCCGGGUACACAGGAACUGCAGGUGAUAGUUUGUCAGACCUAAAUGGCAGGAACUUUUCAACAAAAGACCAGGAUAAUGACAAUAACAAUAACUGUGCUAUAGAUGGUCGUGGAGCCUGGUGGUACGACGGUUGUGCCAACUCAAACCUAAACGGGUUGUAUUCCCUGUCUUCUAAGUAUAGUUAUAGAAACCUACACUGGGCACACUGGGUACUUGAAGCGCUUCAAAAGACUGUGAUGAUGAUCAGGAAUAAAUAACUGAGAUAAAAAAAACACCAUCUGUAAUAUUUUAUAGAAUAAUCAUAAAUAUUAAUGUGAGUUUGUCUUGUUAAUAUAUACGUACUUGUAUGAUUAAGUCAGA
This is a long non-coding RNA of Saccostrea cuccullata (small rock oyster), 636 nucleotides long. RefSeq lists it as uncharacterized. The record is from RefSeq and is a predicted model, not a curated record. The transcript is spliced from 3 exons. Lineage: Eukaryota; Metazoa; Mollusca; Bivalvia; Ostreida; Ostreidae.